UACAGGGGGGGCAAGCGUUGUUCGGAAUUACUGGGCGUAAAGGGCUCGUAGGCGGCCAAUUAAGUCCGACGUGAAAUCCCCAGGCUUAACCUGGGAACUGCGUCGGAUACUGAUUGGCUUGAAUCCGGGAGAGGGAUGCGGAAUUCCAGGUGUAGCGGUGAAAUGCGUAGAUAUCUGGAGGAACACCUGUGGCGAAGGCGGCCCCCUGGUUGGAUACUGACGCUGAGACGCGAAAGCGUGGGGAGCAAACAGG
This 253-nucleotide ribosomal RNA is filed under the name uncultured bacterium. RNAcentral describes it as "partial 16S ribosomal RNA". It matches the Rfam family "Bacterial small subunit ribosomal RNA", at positions 524 to 776 of the family's 1533-position model. The record is from RNAcentral.